This 624-nucleotide ribosomal RNA is filed under the name Penicillium sp. HLS2-6. Its description in RNAcentral is "eukaryotic LSU rRNA". The stretch from base 246 to 398 matches the Rfam family "5.8S ribosomal RNA". The record is from RNAcentral. Lineage: Eukaryota; Fungi; Ascomycota; Eurotiomycetes; Eurotiales; Aspergillaceae.
UCUUGGUCAUUUAGAGGAAGUAAAAGUCGUAACAAGGUUUCCGUAGGUGAACCUGCGGAAGGAUCAUUACCGAGUGAGGGCCCUCUGGGUCCAACCUCCCACCCGUGUUUAUUUUACCUUGUUGCUUCGGCGGGCCCGCCUUAACUGGCCGCCGGGGGGCUUACGCCCCCGGGCCCGCGCCCGCCGAAGACACCCUCGAACUCUGUCUGAAGAUUGUAGUCUGAGUGAAAAUAUAAAUUAUUUAAAACUUUCAACAACGGAUCUCUUGGUUCCGGCAUCGAUGAAGAACGCAGCGAAAUGCGAUACGUAAUGUGAAUUGCAAAUUCAGUGAAUCAUCGAGUCUUUGAACGCACAUUGCGCCCCCUGGUAUUCCGGGGGGCAUGCCUGUCCGAGCGUCAUUGCUGCCCUCAAGCACGGCUUGUGUGUUGGGCCCCGUCCUCCGAUCCCGGGGGACGGGCCCGAAAGGCAGCGGCGGCACCGCGUCCGGUCCUCGAGCGUAUGGGGCUUUGUCACCCGCUCUGUAGGCCCGGCCGGCGCUUGCCGAUCAACCCAAAUUUUUAUCCAGGUUGACCUCGGAUCAGGUAGGGAUACCCGCUGAACUUAAGCAUAUCAAUAAGCGGAGGA